AUCAUCUCGGGAGGUCGAAGUCUGGCCGGUGACGUCGCAUCUACACCCGGGGAUUUUUCCCCGGGCUCGUUUUCACGGGACUCGUGCAGGUGCUGCUGCGUUUUAAAACACGCAUUGGGCAACAUUUUGAAAAGGGGAGGUAGUCUUAUAACUUAACAAGAUGAAAGGAAUAUAAAACAACAUUUGUUAACUUUCCACUGUUUAUUAUGGAUGAUUAUGAAUUAAUUAAUGAAUACUUACCGAACUAGAGGAUAUGAGGUAGCUGGUAUGAUCCAGCGUGCUUGAUGAUGAGGUGAUUUUCUAGGUUACACCCUCACUUCUUUGUCUAGGUUAAGAUGCUAACAAGCAACCAGAGUUAAGAUGGAAA
This is a long non-coding RNA of Parasteatoda tepidariorum (common house spider), 367 nucleotides long. RefSeq lists it as uncharacterized. The record is from RefSeq and is a predicted model, not a curated record. NCBI's taxonomy places the organism in Eukaryota, Metazoa, Arthropoda, Arachnida, Araneae, Theridiidae.